GACGAACGCUGGCGGCGUGCUUAACACAUGCAAGUCGAACGGAAAGGCCCUGCUUUUGUGGGGUGCUCGAGUGGCGAACGGGUGAGUAACACGUGAGUAACCUGCCCUUGACUUUGGGAUAACUUCAGGAAACUGGGGCUAAUACCGGAUAGGAGCUCCUGCUGCAUGGUGGGGGUUGGAAAGUUUCGGCGGUUGGGGAUGGACUCGCGGCUUAUCAGCUUGUUGGUGGGGUAGUGGCUUACCAAGGCUUUGGCGGGUAGCCGGCCUGAGAGGGUGACCGGCCACAUUGGGCCUGCGAUACGGCCCAGACUCCUACGGGAGGCAGCAGUGGGGAAUAUUGCACAAUGGGCGGAAGCCUGAUGCAGCAACGCCGCGUGCGGGAUGACGGCCUUCGGGUUGUAAACCGCUUUCGCCUGUGACGAAGCGUGAGUGACGGUAAUGGGUAAAGAAGCACCGGCUAACUACGUG
RNAcentral lists this ribosomal RNA (468 nucleotides) under uncultured bacterium. Its description in RNAcentral is "partial 16S ribosomal RNA". It matches the Rfam family "Bacterial small subunit ribosomal RNA", at positions 28 to 507 of the family's 1533-position model. The record is from RNAcentral.